UACGGGGGGAGCAAGCGUUGUUCGGAUUUACUGGGCGUAAAGGGCGCGUAGGCGGCGUGACAAGUCACUUGUGAAAUCUCCGGGCUUAACCCGGAGCGGCCAAGUGAUACUGUCGUGCUAGAGUGCGGAAGGGGCUACUGGAAUUCCUGGUGUAGCGGUGAAAUGCGCAGAUAUCAGGAGGAACACCGGUGGCGAAGGCGGGUCUCUGGGCCGUAACUGACGCUGAGGAGCGAAAGCAUGGGGAGCGAACAGG
Molecule: ribosomal RNA, 253 nt
Filed under: uncultured bacterium
Lineage: Bacteria
Description: partial 16S ribosomal RNA
Rfam family: Bacterial small subunit ribosomal RNA
Source: RNAcentral